GUGUCGGAGCUCCGCGGCGUUAGUGAAAAGUGAAAAACAAUUUGAACGCGACGGUGUGUGCCGCGGAAAACGGAAAAGUCGUUGCUGAAGUGACGGAUAAGUCGCCUUUUGCCGUUUUGCCUUUGUAUCAACCAGCAACUACCGUUUUGUACAGUUUUAAGCGCGGCAAAAAAAAAGCAAAAGCAACAACAACCAAGAGUGGAAGAAGAAGCUGAUCACACACACACGCUAAAACUGUGCAAUUAAAAAAUAUAUAUAUACACAUAACAAAAGUAUUAAAUAAUGCAAAAUUUGAUAACAAGUGUCGGCGGCAAAUGUUGUUCAAUAUGAGCAAAAAACGCAGCAGCACCAGUAGCAGCGGCAGCAACCACAA
Molecule: non-coding RNA, 373 nt
Organism: Drosophila kikkawai
Lineage: Eukaryota; Metazoa; Arthropoda; Insecta; Diptera; Drosophilidae
Source: RefSeq, a predicted model, not a curated record